Molecule: ribosomal RNA, 460 nt
Filed under: uncultured bacterium
Lineage: Bacteria
Description: partial 16S ribosomal RNA
Rfam family: Bacterial small subunit ribosomal RNA
Source: RNAcentral
CCUACGGGAGGCAGCAGUGAGGAAUAUUGGUCAAUGGGCGCAAGCCUGAACCAGCCAAGUCGCGUGAAGGAUGACUGCCCUACGGGUUGUAAACUUCUUUUAUAGGGGAGUAAAGUGCGGCACGUGUGCCUUUUUGUAUGUACUUUAUAAAUAAGGCUCGGCUAACUCCGUGCCAGCCGCCGCGGUAAUACGGAGGAUCCGAGCGUUAUCCGGAGUUAUUGGGUUUAAAGGGAGCGUAGAUGGGUUGGUAAGUCAGGUGUGAAAGUGUGCGGCUCAACCGUAAAAUUGCAAUUGAUACUGGAAGUCUUGAGUGCAGUGGAGGUAGGCGGAAUGCGUGGUGUAGCGGUGAAAUGCUUAGAUAUCACGAAGAACCCCGAUUGCGAAGGCAGCUUACUAAACUGCAACUGACACUGAGGCUCGAAAGUGUGGGUAUCAAACAGGAUUAGAUACCCCAGUAGUC